UACGUAGGGUGCAAGCGUUGUCCGGAAUUAUUGGGCGUAAAGAGCUCGUAGGCGGUUUGUCGCGUCUGCUGUGAAAACCCGAGGCUCAACCUCGGGCCUGCAGUGGGUACGGGCAGACUAGAGUGCGGUAGGGGAGAUUGGAAUUCCUGGUGUAGCGGUGGAAUGCGCAGAUAUCAGGAGGAACACCGAUGGCGAAGGCAGAUCUCUGGGCCGUAACUGACGCUGAGGAGACGAAAGCAUGGGGAGCGAACAGG
Molecule: ribosomal RNA, 254 nt
Filed under: uncultured bacterium
Lineage: Bacteria
Description: partial 16S ribosomal RNA
Rfam family: Bacterial small subunit ribosomal RNA
Source: RNAcentral